This 46-nucleotide small RNA is filed under the name Plasmodium falciparum 3D7. RNAcentral describes it as "Pfa-npcR7314". Lineage: Eukaryota; Apicomplexa; Aconoidasida; Haemosporida; Plasmodiidae. The record is from RNAcentral.
UCGUUAAUUUAAAAUACUUUUUUUGUGUAAAUUUUUUUUAUGAGGU